AGAGUUUGAUCCUGGCUCAGAGCGAACGCUGGCGGCAGGCCUAACACAUGCAAGUCGAACGAACUCUUCGGAGUUAGUGGCGGACGGGUGAGUAACACGUGGGAACGUGCCUUUAGGUUCGGAAUAACUCAGGGAAACUUGUGCUAAUACCGAAUGUGCCCUUCGGGGGAAAGAUUUAUCGCCUUUAGAGCGGCCCGCGUCUGAUUAGCUUGUUGGUGGGGUAAUGGCCCACCAAGGCGACGAUCAGUAGCUGGACUGAGAGGAUGACCAGCCACAUUGGGACUGAGACACGGCCCAAACUCCUACGGGAGGCAGCAGUGGGGAAUCUUGCGCAAUGGGCGAAAGCCUGACGCAGCCAUGCCGCGUGGAUGAUGAAGGUCUUAGGAUUGUAAAAUCCUUUCACCGGUGAAGAUAAUGACUGUAGCCGGAGAAGAAGCCCCGGCUAACUUCGUGCCAGCAGCCGCGGUAAUACGAAGGGGGCUAGCGUUGCUCGGAAUUACUGGGCGUAAAGGGAGCGUAGGCGGACAUUUAAGUCAGGGGUGAAAUCCCGAGGCUCAACCUCGGAACUGCCUUUGAUACUGGGUGUCUUGAGUGUGAGAGAGGUGAGUGGAACUCCGAGUGUAGAGGUGAAAUUCGUAGAUAUUCGGAAGAACACCAGUGGCGAAGGCGACUCACUGGCUCAUUACUGACGCUGAGGCUCGAAAGCGUGGGGAGCAAACAGGAUUAGAUACCCUGGUAGUCCACGCCGUAAACGAUGAUUGCUAGUUGUCGGGGAGCUUGCUCUUCGGUGACGCAGCUAA
This 800-nucleotide ribosomal RNA is filed under the name uncultured bacterium. RNAcentral's name for it is "bacterial SSU rRNA". It matches the Rfam family "Bacterial small subunit ribosomal RNA", at positions 8 to 855 of the family's 1533-position model. The record is from RNAcentral.